CAUAAGGGUGCUUGACUGCGAGACAGACACGUCGAGCAGGUGCGAAAGCAGGUUCUAGUGAUCCGGUGGUUCUGUAUGGAAGGGCCAUCGCUCAACGGAUAAAAGGUACUCCGGGGAUAACAGGCUGAUACCGCCCAAGAGUUCACAUCGACGGCGGUGUUUGGCACCUCGAUGUCGGCUCAUCACAUCCUGGGGCUGAAGUCGGUCCCAAGGGUAUGGCUGUUCGCCAUUUAAAGUGGUACGCGAGCUGGGUUUAGAACGUCGUGAGACAGUUCGGUCCCUAUCUGCCGUGGGCGUUGGAGAUUUGAGAAGGGCUGCUCCUAGUACGAGAGGACCGGAGUGGACGCACCUCUGGUGUUCCGGUUGUCACGCCAGUGGCAUUGCCGGGUAGCUAUGUGCGGACGGGAUAACCGCUGAAAGCAUCUAAGCGGGAAGCCCCCUUCAAGAUGAGAUCUCCCCGAGGCCUCGAGCCUCCUGAAGGGCCCAGCGAGACCAGCUGGUUGAUAGGCACGGUGUGGAAGCGCUGCAAGGCGUUGAGCUAACGUGUACUAAUGGCCCGUGAGGCUUGACCAUAUAACACCCAAAGGGU
This is a ribosomal RNA of 589 nucleotides. It matches the Rfam family "Bacterial large subunit ribosomal RNA", at positions 2358 to 2925 of the family's 2925-position model.